GCGUCCAUAGCUCAGCUGGAUAGAGCAACAGUUUGCGGUACUGUGGGUCAGGGGUUCGAAUCCCUUUGGGCGCGCCA
RNAcentral lists this transfer RNA (77 nucleotides) under Campylobacterota bacterium. RNAcentral describes it as "tRNA-Arg". It matches the Rfam family "tRNA". From Rfam's summary of the family: Transfer RNA (tRNA) molecules are approximately 80 nucleotides in length. Their secondary structure includes four short double-helical elements and three loops (D, anti-codon, and T loops). Lineage: Bacteria; Pseudomonadati; Campylobacterota. RNAcentral also lists the same sequence under 2 other names. The record is from RNAcentral.